CCAAAGGCUCUUUUAAGAGCCACUCAAAUAUCAAAUAUGGAGCUUU
Molecule: non-coding RNA, 46 nt
Organism: Callithrix jacchus (white-tufted-ear marmoset)
Lineage: Eukaryota; Metazoa; Chordata; Mammalia; Primates; Cebidae
Source: Rfam